AACGAACGCUGGCGGCAGGCCUAACACAUGCAAGUCGAGCGAAGCCUUCGGGUUUAGCGGCGGACGGGUGAGUAACGCGUGGGAAUAUGCCCUUUGGUACGGAACAGUCCCGGGAAACUGGGUUUAAUACCGUAUGUGGUCCUUCGUAGUGGAUACGGGGGACGAAAGAUUUAUCGCCAAAGGAUUAGCCCGCGUUGGAUUAGGUAGUUGGUGGGUAACGGCCUACCAAGCCGACGAUCCAUAGCUGGUUUGAGAGGAUGAUCAGCCACACUGGGACUGAGACACGGCCCAGACUCCUACGGGAGGCAGCAGUGGGGAAUCUUAGACAAGUGGGGGCAACCCUGAUCUAGCCAUGCCGCGUGAGUGAUGAAGGCCUUAGGGUUGUAAAGCUCUUUCAGCUGGGAAGAUAAUGACGGUACCAGCAGAAGAAGCCCCGGCUAACUCCGUG
Molecule: ribosomal RNA, 448 nt
Filed under: uncultured bacterium
Lineage: Bacteria
Description: bacterial SSU rRNA
Rfam family: Bacterial small subunit ribosomal RNA
Source: RNAcentral